GUUUAUGUUACAUAUGGAUAGUGAGGCAGUUUCUUUUAUACUUGAGGUAGACUCAUUAAUAAUAUCUGAACUAGGACCUGGAUUAGUUUCAAUAUUUCCAAUAAUUAGGAUGAAAUUUAAAACAUAUAGCAGGAAAACAAUAUUUAUAUUCGGAUUUAAGCUCUGGAGUAGUGACAGAGAGACGACGAGAAACGAACAUCUGAAAUUGGUAAGUAAUAUUUCUAUUAUAGAGCUAUCAAUUGUUUGUGAGUUUAAACUACCGAGACCAAAUGUGCAACUACAUAAGUUAAAUAACCCGAUAGCUGCCCUAUACUGUUCUAUACAAUUACCCAUUGGGUUUUAACAUGGAAAUCAUACUACGUAGAAUCAGGCAGCAAAACGAGAUAUAUACACCACCACACACAUCAUCACACUUAACUGAUGAAAAGUCCAAAAAAGACGAAAAAAAUAAAAAAUAUAUAAAACAAAACAAACAAGGUUUGAAAUAUGAGAGAAAUCAUUUGUAAUUGAAAUGGGAAAUGAUUAGAUAUUUUGAAUACUUGAAAC
This 546-nucleotide long non-coding RNA is filed under the name Mytilus galloprovincialis (Mediterranean mussel). The record is from RNAcentral. Lineage: Eukaryota; Metazoa; Mollusca; Bivalvia; Mytilida; Mytilidae.